RNAcentral lists this ribosomal RNA (465 nucleotides) under uncultured bacterium. RNAcentral's name for it is "bacterial SSU rRNA". It matches the Rfam family "Bacterial small subunit ribosomal RNA", at positions 338 to 795 of the family's 1533-position model. The record is from RNAcentral.
CCUACGGGUCGCACCAGUGGGGAAUAUUGCACAAUAGGCGCAAGCCUGAUGCAGCCAUGCCGCGUGUAUGAAGAAGGCCUUAGGGUUGUAAAGUACUUUCAGUUGGGAGGAAGGCGUUGAUGCUAAUAUCAUCAACGAUUGACGUUACCAACAGAAGAAGCACCGGCUAACUCCGUGCCAGCAGCCGCGGUAGUACGGAGGGUGCAAGCGUUAAUCGGAAUUACUGGGCGUAAAGCGCACGCAGGCGGUUGAUUAAGUUAGAUGUGAAAUCCCCGGGCUUAACCUGGGAAUGGCAUCUAAGACUGGUCAGCUAGAGUCUUGUAGAGGGGGGUAGAAUUCCAUGUGUAGCGGUGAAAUGCGUAGAGAUGUGGAGGAGUACCGGUGGUGAAGGCGGCCCCCUGGACAAAGACUGACGCUCAGGUGCGAAAGCGUGGGGAGCAAACAGGAUUUGAUACCCUCGUAGUC